Molecule: transfer RNA, 65 nt
Filed under: Ovatella vulcani
Lineage: Eukaryota; Metazoa; Mollusca; Gastropoda; Ellobiida; Ellobiidae
Description: tRNA-Glu
Source: RNAcentral
GUUCAAAGAGUGUCACCACGUCACCUUUUCGAGGUGGAAACGGUACCGAAAGGUGCCUUUGAAUA